Molecule: ribosomal RNA, 502 nt
Filed under: uncultured bacterium
Lineage: Bacteria
Description: bacterial SSU rRNA
Rfam family: Bacterial small subunit ribosomal RNA
Source: RNAcentral
UGGAACUGGAUGACCUGCAGGCAGGCAGAGGGGGAGUGGAUUCCCAUGCGUAGGCGGUUGAAUGCGUAGAUAAUUCGGAGGAUCACCCAGUGGGGAAGGGCGGGCUCUUUUGACUGUUUCUGACCGUGAAGGCGGCGAAAGCAGUGGGGAGCAAACAGGAUUAGAUUACCCCCGGUAGUCACGCCGUAACGAUGGGUGUUAGGUGUAGGAGGUAUCGACCCCCUUCUGUGCCGUAGUUAACACCACUAAGCACCCCCGCCUGGGGAGUACGGCCGCAAAGAUUGUAACUCAUACGGAAUUGAUCGGGGGCCCCGCACAAGCAGGUGGAGCAUGUGGUUUAAUUUCGACGCAACGACGAAGAACCCUCCUCAGCGCGUGGACAUCCUCUGACCGCAUAUGAAAGUAUGUUUUCUGGCUUCGGUCAGACAGAGAGACAGGUGGUGCAUGGUUGUCGUCAGCUCGUGUCGUGAGAUGUUGGGUUAAGUCCCGCAACGAGCGCAAC